CGCCAGAGUCCCGACAAUGUGGUGUUCGUCAUGGACGCGGCCAUCGGCCAGGCCUGCGAGCCGCAGGCGCGCGCCUUCAAGGAAAAGGUGGACGUCGGAUCGGUCAUCGUCACCAAGCUGGACGGCCACGCCAAGGGCGGUGGCGCCCUGUCAGCCGUGGCGGCCACGUCGUCGCCCAUCAUCUUCAUCGGCACGGGUGAGCACAUCGACGACUUUGAACCGUUCCGCGUCAAGCCGUUCGUCUCCAAGCUGCUGGGCAUGGGCGACAUCGAGGGCCUGAUCGAGACCGUGCAGGACCUCGGCCUCGAGGACAACGAGGAGCUCAUCAAGAAGCUGAAGCACGGCGAGUUCACGCUCCGUGACAUGUACGAGCAGUUCCAGAACAUCAUGAAGAUGGGGCCCUUCUCGCAGAUCAUGGGCAUGAUCCCGGGCUUCGGCCAGGACUUCCUGUCGAAGGGCGGCGAGCAGGAGUCGACGGCCCGCCUGAAGCGACUCAUGACGCUCAUGGACAGCAUGAGUGACGGCGAGCUGGACAGCCAGCUGGGCGCCAAGCUGUUCACCAAGCAGCCGAGUCGGAUCACACGCGUCGCCAACGGCGCUGGCGUGACCGAGCGCGAGGUGCGUGACCUGCUCAAUCAACACACCAAAUUUGCCCAGGUGGUCAAGAAGAUGGGCGGCAUCAAGGGUCUGUUCAAAGGUGGCGACAUGUCGCGCAACGUCAACCAGAACCAGAUGGCGAAGCUGAACCAGCAGAUGGCGCGCAUGAUGGACCCGCGCGUGCUGCAGAUGCGGCAUGGGCGGCAUGAACGGCAUCCAGAACAUGAUGCGCCAGCUGCAGCAGGGCCAGGGCACGCUGAGCCAGUUCGUCGGCAAACAGUGAUAGCCGGGCGGCGGCGGAGGCUGCCGGCGCGUGGCACGGGUGACACGGCCGUCCCGGGCGGCAUGGGGAGGGAGGGGGAGGGGCGGCGCCGUCUGACGGUCCAUUCCAGCCGGGCCGCCGCUGGCGGGGGUGGCCACGGUCAUGAGCCCGGGCCGGAGCUCGCUGUGGUCCGGUGACGCCGCCCAGGCGUCCAUCGCCUGGCGGCAGCGGCCUGCGUGACCUGUUGGGCCGCGGCCGUGGAGCCGGAUGGUGGCGUGCGUUUGCCGUCCGGCUGAUCUGUGGAGGUUUCAACUGUCGGAUGGAGCGAUGCGACUGUGGGCUGGUUGUGGUCCG
RNA transcript from Pollicipes pollicipes, 1213 nucleotides. It is a transcript of the gene named signal recognition particle 54 kDa protein-like, with no coding region annotated. The transcript has 5 exons. Lineage: Eukaryota; Metazoa; Arthropoda; Thecostraca; Pollicipedomorpha; Pollicipedidae. The record is from RefSeq and is a predicted model, not a curated record.